AGUGAACGCUGGCGGUAGGCCUAACACAUGCAAGUCGAACGGCAGCACAGUAAGAGCUUGCUCUUACGGGUGGCGAGUGGCGGACGGGUGAGGAAUACAUCGGAAUCUACUUUUUCUAGGGGGCUAACGUAGGGACACUUACGCUAAUACCCCAUACGACCUACGGGUGAAAGCAGGGGAUCUUAGGACCUUGCGCGAUCCAAUGAGCCGAUGUCGGAUUAGUUAGUUGGGGGGGUAAAGGCCCACCAAGGCGACGAUCCGUAGCUGGUCUGAGAGGAUGAUCAGCCACACUGGAACUGAGACACGGUCCAGACUCCUACGGGAGGCAGCAGUGGGGAAUAUUGGACAAUGGGCGCAAGCCUGAUCCAGCCAUGCCGCGUGGGUGAAGAAGGCCUUCGGGUUGUAAAGCCCUUUUGUUGGGAAAGAAGAGCAGCAAGUUAAUACCCCGCUGUUCUGACGGUACCCAAAGAAUAAGCACCGGCUAACUUCGUG
This 492-nucleotide ribosomal RNA is filed under the name uncultured bacterium. RNAcentral describes it as "partial 16S ribosomal RNA". It matches the Rfam family "Bacterial small subunit ribosomal RNA", at positions 29 to 507 of the family's 1533-position model. The record is from RNAcentral.